Molecule: long non-coding RNA, 247 nt
Filed under: Hordeum vulgare
Lineage: Eukaryota; Viridiplantae; Streptophyta; Magnoliopsida; Poales; Poaceae
Description: long non-coding RNA (HVUL_LNC004075)
Source: RNAcentral
UCGUUGUUGUUCUUGUUGUUGUUGUUCUUGUUGUUGUUGUUGUUGUUGUUUUUGUUGUUGUUGUUGUUGUCGUUGCUAUCGUUGUUGUAGUUGUUGUCAAUGUCGUCGUUGUUGUUGUUGUUGUUGUUGUUGUUGUUGUUGUUGUUGUUGUUGUUGUCGUCGUUGUCGUUGUUGUUGUUGUUGUGGUUGUUGUUGUUGUUGUUGUUGUUGUUGUUGUUGUUGUUAUUGUUGUUGUUGUUGUCGUCGU